GUUAAGUAGGGAGCACGCUGUAGGCCUGGAGGCAGUGUGUCAUGCUGGAUUAGAAAAAGAUCUUUCCAAAGUGUUGAAAAAAAAUAGUGUUUACGCUGCACUAAACUUUGACGAUCAACACUCUUAUCCACAAACAAACAGAUGAGGAAGAGGACCCCUGAUGAGGGUCCAGCAUAUACAAGUAGAAAGUAACCAAGAGAAGUAUCUUCGCUGAAGAAAUGUCAGCUGUUAAUCCUUAGACACCUGUGAACACCAAGCAGUCUCUUGAGUCCAAGACAUCAAGUGCAUCGUCUUUAUUAUACUUCUCUGACAUAACAGUUAGAGCUAAAGAGGAAGUUCAAGUAAUUGUCUGCAUUUACCAUUAUACUGUGUAAUUUUUUGCAACAACAGUGGGAAUCAUAACUGAAGAGACAAACUGACCAACAGGAAGCUUUGGAUCUGCUGAAUAUGUAUUUUUCUAGCAUUUUAUUGUGGUGUUCACUUUUAUUUUUCUGCACAAUGAUUUGCUCUUUACAGAAAUGAAAGCUCCCAAGUAAAGAACUCACCAAAUUAUGAUGUGAAAAGACAUGUUAUUUAAAACAAUGUUUAUAUUUAGCUUAAGCUUUACUUAAAUUUUACAAUCCAAGUUUAAGUAAAUGCAUGGGUAAUUUUGCAAAAUGUGUUAAAUAUUGUAUCUACACUUAGGCUAUUGUAUAACUGUUUUUUUUUUCUGUAAUUGCAUGUUUUUGUAAAUAAAUGUAUUAUUUUGUAAACGUUCCUCCUGCCAGCUUGAUCUAGUGAGUUCUUUAAUGGAUUUUAAAAUUGCUUUCAUAAUAAUGUCAUGUUUUUAUAUUUAUGUCAUGUUAUUUAUAUUAUAAUCUACAUAAUUAAAAUGAAAGUAAUGUUUUGGCUGGAUAUUAAUUUCAAAU
Long non-coding RNA from Cyprinus carpio carpio, 908 nucleotides. Lineage: Eukaryota; Metazoa; Chordata; Actinopteri; Cypriniformes; Cyprinidae. The record is from Ensembl.